CUUUAUUUAACAUAGGUAAACUAAACCAACGACACUUGUUUGCCAAUGAUUAUUUACGUCGGCAAAACUUUGUAUUUGCCAAUGGAAAAAAAAUAAGCAUCGGCAAAUGGAAUCAACGACCUGCUUAUUGCCAAUUCUUAUUUACCGAUGUUUUUUACAUCGGUAAUAGGUUUUGGUGGUGCUUUUUUAUUAUUUAGCUAUGCUUUUGUUAUGUUGCUAAUUGUCUUAUUUCUUGUAGUGAGAGGUGGA
Molecule: long non-coding RNA, 249 nt
Filed under: Elaeis guineensis (African oil palm)
Lineage: Eukaryota; Viridiplantae; Streptophyta; Magnoliopsida; Arecales; Arecaceae
Description: long non-coding RNA (EGUI_LNC003751)
Source: RNAcentral